GACGAACGCUGGCGGCGCGCCUAACACAUGCAAGUCGAACGAGCGAGAGAGAGCUUGCUUUCUCGAGCGAGUGGCGAACGGGUGAGUAACGCGUGAGGAACCUGCCUCAAAGAGGGGGACAACAGUUGGAAACGACUGCUAAUACCGCAUAAGCCCACGGCUCGGCAUCGAGCAGAGGGAAAAGGAGCAAUCCGCUUUGAGAUGGCCUCGCGUCCGAUUAGCUAGUUGGUGAGGUAAUGGCCCACCAAGGCGACGAUCGGUAGCCGGACUGAGAGGUUGAACGGCCACAUUGGGACUGAGACACGGCCCAGACUCCUACGGGAGGCAGCAGUGGGGAAUAUUGCACAAUGGGGGAAACCCUGAUGCAGCGACGCCGCGUGGAGGAAGAAGGUCUUCGGAUUGUAAACUCCUGUUGUUGGGGAAGAUAAUGACGGUACCCAACAAGGAAGUGACGGCUAACUACGUGCCAGCAGCCGCGGUAAAACGUAGGUCACAAGCGUUGUCCGGAAUUACUGGGUGUAAAGGGAGCGCAGGCGGGAAGACAGUUGGAAGUGAAAUCUAUGGGCUCAACCCAUAAACUGCUUUUCAAACUGUUUUUCUUGAGUAGUGCAGAGGUAGGCGGAAUUCCCGGUGUAGCGGUGGGAUGCGUAGAUAUCGGGAGGAACACCAGUGGCGAAGGCGGCCUACUGGGCACCAACUGACGCUGAGGCUCGAAAGUGUGGGUAGCAAACAGGAUUAGAUACCCUGGUAGUCCACACCGUAAACGAUGAUUACUAGGUGUUGGAGGAUUGACCCCUUCAGUGCCGCAGUUAACACAAUAAGUAAUCCACCUGGGGAGUACGACCGCAAGGUUGAAACUCAAAGGAAUUGACGGGGGCCCGCACAAGCAGUGGAGUAUGUGGUUUAAUUCGACGCAACGCGAAGAACCUUACCAAGUCUUGACAUCCCUUGACAGGCAUAGAAAUAUGUUUUCUCUUCGGAGCAAGGAGACAGGUGGUGCAUGGUUGUCGUCAGCUCGUGUCGUGAGAUGUUGGGUUAAGUCCCGCAACGAGCGCAACCCUUAUGGUCAGUUACUACGCAAGAGGACUCUGGCCAGACUGCCGUUGACAAAACGGAGGAAGGUGGGGAUGACGUCAAAUCAUCAUGCCCUUUAUGACUUGGGCUACACACGUACUACAAUGGCGUUAAACAAAGAGAAGCAAGACCGCGAGGUGGAGCAAAACUCAGAAACAACGUCCCAGUUCGGACUGCAGGCUGCAACUCGCCUGCACGAAGUCGGAAUUGCUAGUAAUCGUGGAUCAGCAUGCCACGGUGAAUACGUUCCCGGGCCUU
This 1332-nucleotide ribosomal RNA is filed under the name uncultured bacterium. RNAcentral describes it as "bacterial SSU rRNA". It matches the Rfam family "Bacterial small subunit ribosomal RNA", at positions 28 to 1382 of the family's 1533-position model. The record is from RNAcentral.